CGGUUGAUCCUGCCGGACCUCACUGCUAUCGGGGUGGGACUAAGACAUGCAAGUCGUACGCCUCCCAGCCGCCGGGGGAGGCGUGGCGCACGGCUCCGUAACACGUGGCUAACCUACCCUUGGGACGGGGAUAACCCCGGGAAACUGGGGCUAAUCCCCGAUAGGCGAGGAUGCCUGGAAUGGUUCCUCGCCGAAAGGGCGCCGGAACCGUGCUUCCGGUGUCGCCCAAGGAUGGGGCCGCGGCCGAUCAGGUUGUUGGUGGGGUAACGGCCCACCAAGCCGAUAACCGGUACGGGCCGUGAGAGCGGGAGCCCGGAGAUGGGCACUGAGAUAAGGGCCCAGGCCCUACGGGGCGCAGCAGUCGCGAAACCUCCGCAAUGCGCGAAAGCGCGACGGGGCCACCCCGAGUGCCGCCCGCUGAGGGUGGCUUUUCCCCGGUGUAGAUAGCCGGGGGAAUAAGGGGAGGGCAAGUCUGGUGUCAGCCGCCGCGGUAAUACCAGCUCCCCGAGUGGUGGGGACGAUUAUUGGGCCUAAAGCGUCCGUAGCCGGCCCGGCAAGUCUCCCGUUAAAUCCAGCGAUCUAAUCGCUGGACUGCGGGAGAUACUGUCGGGCUAGGGGGCGGGAGAGGCCGGCGGUAUUCCCGGGGUAGGGGUGAAAU
Molecule: ribosomal RNA, 658 nt
Filed under: uncultured archaeon
Lineage: Archaea
Description: bacterial SSU rRNA
Rfam family: Archaeal small subunit ribosomal RNA
Source: RNAcentral